Molecule: unclassified non-coding RNA, 239 nt
Filed under: Glomeraceae sp.
Lineage: Eukaryota; Fungi; Glomeromycota; Glomeromycetes; Glomerales; Glomeraceae
Description: partial contains 5.8S ribosomal RNA and internal transcribed spacer 2
Rfam family: 5.8S ribosomal RNA (bases 1-71)
Source: RNAcentral
GUGAAUCAUCGAAUUUUUGAACGCAAAUUGCGCUUCCUAGCAUCCCGGGAAGUAUGCCUGUUUGAGGGUCAGUAUUAACAAAAAAAUCGGUUUGGUUGCAAAUUGUGACGUUUCCGGUGUUUGGGCUAUCUUAACUUUUUUGGUUAAGGGGCUUAAAAUUGACCUUUUUUGCGCAUUUUUAGACGUACAUAAAUUUUUUUUUUUUUUGUUUAUGUUUCAUGCCAAAAUCUUAAUAGAUU